RNA transcript from Glycine soja, 1707 nucleotides. RefSeq lists it as uncharacterized. The transcript has 5 exons. Lineage: Eukaryota; Viridiplantae; Streptophyta; Magnoliopsida; Fabales; Fabaceae. The record is from RefSeq and is a predicted model, not a curated record.
GUGAAGUUUGAACACAGUUUCAUCUUUGUUUCCUCUCUUCAUUAUUUUUGUCUCCACCUUGUCUUCUUUAUUUUUGGCGUUAAUUUGGUUGUUUCACUUGGAGCAUUGUCAAUGAUUGGAGAAUUCACUUUACAGCAUAUUCAACAAUUGGAAUUUGGAAAGAAUGAAGAAGAAAACAAGUGGCCACCUGGCUUAGGCCAUUUCUCCAAACAAGCCUUUUUUGUUCAAUGCACAGAUUUCUACAAAAGUGAAUGCAACAUGUAUUGCUUGGAUUGUAUGAAUGGAGCCCUUUAUUCAGCCUGUCUUGCUUGUCACAAAGAACACAAAGCUAUUCAGUUUUUGAAAGGCGAGGAGAUCUUCAUACCAUGAUGCCAUAAGGGUGUCGGAGAUACAGAAAAUUCUGGACAUAACAGGGGUCCAAACUUAUAUUAUAACCUGUGCCAAGAUUGUGUUUUAUGAAUGAAAGGCUCAACUUAGGCCUGACAAAAGGAGUCACCAACACCUGCCAAGUCUGUCUCCAACAUAGAAAAUGGUCCCUCUUCCUGAUGCAAUACAAUCCACCUUCCUCUUGAGUGCUGAGAGACUCAUCUCCUCUUCAUCCCUUUUUCAUGAACCUCGAAGAAAUCAGUGCAAGCUGAAAGUUCAUGAAAUGUGUGUUGACUUCAAUGGUCUGUCUGCAUUGGUUUACACUAGUUCGCACAAGUUGCACACACACUGGUUUGGUUGUGUUAUUGUGGGCUUGAAUUGUUUCUUGCACACACACACACACACUAGUUUACAACUAUGAUUUAUUAGUUAUUUUUUAUUUUCAGUUGUUUAAUUUUUCUAAUGGUAUUCUUUUCCUAAUUAUUCCUUGCAGAAUCUUUACUAGCGUAGUUCUAUAGUGAUUAGUGUUUUAUCUUUUUUCUUUUUUUUACUAUUUAGCUUUCUUUUUCCUUUUGCCCCUUUUUUCUAUGUUGGUGUUGCCAUUUCUUUCUAAUGUAGGUAAAUUUUAGCUUUCCAUCUUUCUUUUACACUUUUAGUGACCCUGAAAAAAUGGGCUUUCAGGGAGUGGAACUACAAGGUGCCAGCAAACAUUUCAUGGCUUUCGGUGGAGGCAUGAGAUUUUGUGUUGGAACGGACUUCACUAAGGUUCAGAUGGCUAUGUUUAUUCAUAGCUUGGUAACCAAGUACAGGUAAGAUUAUGAGAUGGCUAUGUUUAUUCAUAGCUUGGUAACCAAUUACAGGUGGCGACCCAUCAAAGGAGGAAACAUCCUUCGAACUCCGGGUUUACAGUUUCCAAAUGGCUUUCACGUCCAGAUCAUGGAAAAAGAUCAAAGGAAACAGCAGGAACCAGAAUAUACCAUUACAACCAAAACUCCGCAAGAGAGACUCAUAUAUGGUAGAAAUUUAGGUUUGACAUUUUCAAGGAACACAAGGCAAUGAAAUUCUUAUGGAAGCCAGAAAAGCAACCAUAAGGAUCUCUCACUCAGUUUUGAUUAGGUCUCUUAAAAAUUAUGUUUUUAUUAGAUUUUCUUCUCAAUAUACUACAGGGUUUUUAUGAAAACAAGGGUCAAAACCAAAAUAUGACGUGCCUUACCUUGCAAAAAUGCAAUGAGGGGGAAGGGAAGGAAACUUGUACUUUGGUAACAAGGGGUGUAAAUGCUUCAGAUUAUAUCCUGAGUUAAUAUACAAUUUUCUCUUUGAAAGUCACAAUUUUUACUGCUU